AAUUCCAGCUCCAAUAGCGUAUAUUAAAGUUGUUGCGGUUAAAACGUUCGUAGUUGAACUUGUGCUUCAUACGGGUAGUACAACUAUAAUUGUAGUUUGUACUGUACCUUAUGUAUGUAAGCGUAUUACCGGUGGAGUUCUUAUAUGUAUUAAAUACUUGUAUUUAUGCAUAUUCCUCCUAUUUAAACCUGCUUCAGUGCUCUUCAUCGAGUGUUGUUGUGGGCCGGUACAAUUACUUUGAACAAAUUAGAGUGCUUAAAGCAGGCUCCAAAUGCCUGAAUAUUUUGUGCAUGGAAUAAUGAAAUAAGACCUCUGUUCUACUUUCAUUGGUUUUUAGAUCAAGAGGUAAUGAUUAAUAGAAGCAGUUUGGGGGCAUUAGUAUUACGACGCGAGAGGUGAAAUUCUUGGACCGUCGUAAGACUAACUUAAGCGAAAGCAUUUGCCAAAGAUGUUUUCAUUAAUCAAGAACGAAAGUUAGAGGUUCGAAGGCGAUCAGAUACCGCCCUAGUUCUAACCAUAAACGAUGCCAGCUAGCAAUUGGGUGUAGCUACUAUCAUGGCUCUCUCAGUCGCUUCCCGGGAAACCAAAGCUUUUGGGCUCCGGGGGAAGUAUGGUUGCAAAGCUGAAACUUAAAGGAAUUGACGGAAGGGCACCACCAGGAGUGGAGCCUGCGGCUUAAUUUG
This 683-nucleotide ribosomal RNA is filed under the name Lucilia cuprina (Australian sheep blowfly). Its description in RNAcentral is "SSU rRNA". It matches the Rfam family "Eukaryotic small subunit ribosomal RNA", at positions 581 to 1197 of the family's 1831-position model. Lineage: Eukaryota; Metazoa; Arthropoda; Insecta; Diptera; Calliphoridae. The record is from RNAcentral.